GCUGGGCGUGGUGGUGUGCACCUGUAAUCCCAGCAGCUGGGGAGGCUGAGGUAGGAGGAUUGUGAGUUCAAAGCCAGUCUCAUCAACUUAGUGAAGCCCUAUGCAACUAAGUGAGACCCUGUCUCUA
RNAcentral lists this small RNA (127 nucleotides) under Marmota monax (woodchuck). Lineage: Eukaryota; Metazoa; Chordata; Mammalia; Rodentia; Sciuridae. The record is from RNAcentral.